Long non-coding RNA from Drosophila montana, 472 nucleotides. RefSeq lists it as uncharacterized. The record is from RefSeq and is a predicted model, not a curated record. The transcript is spliced from 2 exons. Lineage: Eukaryota; Metazoa; Arthropoda; Insecta; Diptera; Drosophilidae.
UCCCAGGGAAACGUAGCAGCCUUUUCCUUAAGUAUUUUUUGUGCUCUGAAAUUUAUCAAUUACAGAUUUAGAAUUUCGUUUGCAAAAUGAGUCUGAAUAUCUGAAAUAUUCUUGUGGCUUUCUAAUCUUUCUAAUUAACAUGCAAAUUCGUGAAGUUAACUACACUUAAUAUUAAAUUUUAAAUCGAUGGCAACAAUCCAACAGGUUUUUGGCUCAAAAUCCAGAUUUACUAAACCCGAAAAACGAUAACGAAAACAAAAAAUUCCUUUCCAAAUAUCCAAUAUGAAGUUGCCUCCGUUAUUCCCCAUAAUGAUUUUACUAAUAGUUGGAUUACAUUAUCGAAGCAAUUAAUACAAAUCAACAUUUACAUAGCAUGAGCUCAUUAUGGAAAAAUUAUUGAAAUUUUACUCUAUGUGUUUUUCAUAUUAAAGCUCAUAACAGGGAGUACCCCUAUUAUUUAAAUUAAGCUAAA